This 393-nucleotide ribosomal RNA is filed under the name uncultured bacterium. RNAcentral describes it as "partial 16S ribosomal RNA". It matches the Rfam family "Bacterial small subunit ribosomal RNA", at positions 523 to 918 of the family's 1533-position model. The record is from RNAcentral.
AUACGGAGGAUCCGAGCGUUAUCCGGAUUUAUUGGGUUUAAAGGGAGCGUAGGCGGACGCUUAAGUCAGUUGUGAAAGUUUGCGGCUCAACCGUAAAAUUGCAGUUGAUACUGGGUGUCUUGAGUACAGGAGAGGCAGGCGGGAAUCGUGGUGUAGCGGUGAAAUGCCUAGAUAUCACGAAGAACUCGGAUUGCCGAGGACACCGGCUGGACUGUAACUGGCGCUGAUGCUCGAAAGUGUGGGUAUCAAACAGGAUUAGAUGCCCUGGUAGUCCACGCAGUAAACGAUGAAUACAUGUUUUCGGCGAUAUAAUGUAGGUGGCAAAGCGAAAGCUAUAUUUAUUCCUCCUGGGGAGUACGCCGGCAACGGUGAAACUCAAAUGAAUUGACGGGG